GAUGAACGCUGGCGGCGUGCCUAAUACAUGCAAGUCGAGCGAACAGACGAGGAGCUUGCUCCUCUGACGUUAGCGGCGGACGGGUGAGUAACACGUGGAUAACCUACCUAUAAGACUGGGAUAACUUCGGGAAACCGGAGCUAAUACCGGAUAAUAUAUUGAACCGCAUGGUUCACUAGUGAAAGACGGUUUUGCUGUCACUUAUAGAUGGAUCCGCGCCGCAUUAGCUAGUUGGUAAGGUAGCGGCUUACCAAGGCAACGAUGCGUAGCCGACCUGAGAGGGUGAUCGGCCACACUGGAACUGAGACACGGUCCAGACUCCUACGAGAGGCAGCAGUAGGGAAUCUUCCGCAAUGGGCGAAAGCCUGACGGAGCAACGCCGCGUGAGUGAUGAAGGUCUUCGGAUCGUAAAACUCUGUUAUUAGGGAAGAACAAAUGUGUAAGUAACUAUGCACGUCUUGACGGUACCUAAUCAGAAAGCCACGGCUAACUACGUG
Molecule: ribosomal RNA, 497 nt
Filed under: uncultured bacterium
Lineage: Bacteria
Description: partial 16S ribosomal RNA
Rfam family: Bacterial small subunit ribosomal RNA
Source: RNAcentral